AUUCACCGUGUUCGUACCAACAACCAGCACAGGUGCCCCUAGGUGAGUAGCCUCAGGCCUAUAGACAGAAUCGUGGUAAGGGAAUUCAGCAUAUUAGCCCUGUACCUUCGGUAUAAGGGGUCCCUGCUCAUGUUAACGCGUGCGCAGGGCUCAGUGACUAAGACGGUCCGACUGUUUAACAAAAACUUAACUUUACGCAAAGCGGUAACGCCUGGUAUGUAAAGUGAUGUCUGCCCAGUGCCUGCAAUUUAAACCCUUGUUCAAGAGGGCGAAGAUCAGGUAAACGGCGGGAGUAACUAUAACUCUCUUAAGGUAGCGAAAUACCUUGUCGUUUGAAUGACGACGUGCAUGAAUGGCAUAACGAGAUCGUCACUGUCCCUACCGCGAAGUCUCCGAACACUCUUUCCUGGUGCAAAGGCCAGGGAGUCCCAGUGGGAAGUGAAGACCCCGUGAAACUUUACUGUAGCCUGCUGCUGCGGCGCGUGUUCUACUGUGUAGCAUAGAUAGGAGUCAUCGAAGGAUCGUCGUCAGGCGAUCUGGAGACAUCAGUGAAAUACUAUCCUGUAGCACAUGCGCCGCUCACUCGAAAGAGGACACCAGUUGGUGGACAGUUUGACUGGGAUGGUACUCUGCUGAAAAUGUAUCAGUAGAGCCCAAAGGUCAGCUCAGACGGGUCAGAAAUCCGUCGUAGAGUGCAAGAGCAUAAGCUGGCCUGACUGUGAUCUUACUAAGACGGAUCGCAGAGACGAAAGUCGGGUCUAGCGAACCUCUGUACCUCAUUGAUGGGGGUCAGAGAUAACCGAAAAGUUACUCCGGGGAUAAUUGAGUUGUCCCGCCCGAGAGCUCAUAUCGACGGCGGGGCUUGCUACAUCGAUGUCGGCUCAUCCUAUCCUGGCUGUGCAGAAGCAGCCAAGGGUGGGGGUGUUCACCCAUUAAAAGGGUUCGUGAGCUGGGUUCAGAACGCUGUGAGGCAGUUUGUUUAAUAUCUACUGGGACUGUGAGAUGUCUGAGGGGAAGGACCAUCUAGUACGAGAGGAACGGUGGUUCGUGGCCUCUGGUGUACCAGUUGUCCGACAGGGCAGGCUGGGCAGCUACGCCAUACGAUGAUAAGCACUGAAAGCAUCUAAGUGCGAAGCAUCCCUCGAAAAGAGACAUCAUAGGACACGGAAAGAAGAUCCGUUCGAUAGGCGCGGCGUGUACGCACCGAGCUUUACGCGAGGUGUUCAGCGUGCGCGUACUAACGUCCAUACCAGUUCG
This 1257-nucleotide ribosomal RNA is filed under the name marine metagenome. RNAcentral's name for it is "bacterial LSU rRNA". It matches the Rfam family "Archaeal large subunit ribosomal RNA", at positions 1725 to 2987 of the family's 2987-position model. The record is from RNAcentral.